Molecule: unclassified non-coding RNA, 341 nt
Filed under: Hypoxylon investiens
Lineage: Eukaryota; Fungi; Ascomycota; Sordariomycetes; Xylariales; Hypoxylaceae
Description: partial internal transcribed spacer region
Rfam family: Eukaryotic small subunit ribosomal RNA (bases 1-46)
Source: RNAcentral
AAGUCGUAACAAGGUCUCCGUUGGUGAACCAGCGGAGGGAUCAUUACUGAGUUAUUAAAACUCCAAACCCUUUGUGAACCUUACUGUCGUUGCCUCGGCGUGAGCUACGGCUACCCUGUAGUUACCCUAUAGCUACCCUGCAGCUACCCUAUAGUUGACCAGUAGCUACCCUGUAGUUACCCUAUAGUUACCCUGCAGCUACCCUAUAGUUGACCAGUAGCUACCCUGUAGCCGGCUUAUGGCCCGCCGAAGGACCGCUAAACUCUUGUUUUUUACCACUGUUUCUCUGAAUUUUAAACUUAAAUAAGUUAAAACUUUCAACAACGGAUCUCUUGGUUCUG